CAGCAGCCGCGGGAAUACGUAGGUCCCGAGCGUUGUCCGGAUUUAUUGGGCGUAAAGCGAGCGCAGGCGGUUAGAUAAGUCUGAAGUUAAAGGCUGUGGCUUAACCACAGUACGCUUUGGAAACUGUUUAACUUGAGUGCAAGAGGGGAGAGUGGAAUUCCAUGUGUAGCGGUGAAAUGCGUAGAUAUAUGGAGGAACACCGGUGGCGAAAGCGGCUCUCUGGUCUGCAACUGACGCUGAGGCUCGAAAGCGUGGGGAGCGAACAGGAUUAGAUACCCCUGUAGUCCCUGUCUCUUAUACA
RNAcentral lists this ribosomal RNA (301 nucleotides) under uncultured bacterium. Its description in RNAcentral is "partial 16S ribosomal RNA". It matches the Rfam family "Bacterial small subunit ribosomal RNA", at positions 509 to 808 of the family's 1533-position model. The record is from RNAcentral.